Molecule: long non-coding RNA, 2605 nt
Filed under: Capra hircus (goat)
Lineage: Eukaryota; Metazoa; Chordata; Mammalia; Artiodactyla; Bovidae
Description: lncRNA (ENSCHIG00000004946.1)
Source: RNAcentral
GAUUCAUUAAGGCCCAGAUGUUCUGGGGUCUCGAGACCCGAGUCCUAGGCCCCUCCCGCUUCCAGGGCUGCGGAGUGGCACCACCGUCGUGAGUAGCUUAAACGGACGGCAGAAGAGAGAAACUUAACAGAGUGGAAUGUUAAAAAUGAAAACUGGCAAAACAAGUGGCCGGUUUUAUUGACUGAAAUGGAGAGUGAGUUGUACUUUGGAACUAAGUGAUUUACAAACAUCGCUGGGAUUGUGCCUGAAACACGGAGAUGGUAAAAAUCCUAAGGUUUCCAGCGUCCUUUGGAAGCGCUCCGAGGAGCUCAUAGGAUAUAGUAAAUACCUGCACGCAGCUGCCACGCUGCUGACCUGCGAAAUUCGAAGAGAUGGGCUCUGGAAGAAGCAGCGCGGCGUGUCUCAGGCUCAUUUGAAUGUGAAGUUCGGCCACGGAGCAACCUUGAAGCAGCCUCUCGUCAUCUGGGAAGUCUCCAGCCCGGAGCUGCGUGGGGACCGCUCCCCUUCAAGGGCACCGGCCGAUUCCAGACAAAGAAAUUCAACAAACAAAACAAACGCUCCAGUGUUUUAACUCAGCGGUCUUUCCUCGGAGCACAGAAGAUCGUGGAGCCAAGUUCCCCGUGUCACAGGCCUUUGUUGUAGUUUUCUUGGCGACGCCCUGGAUCCUGGCGGUAGAUGGUUUACCUGAGCCAUGAGUGACAUAGCACAUUUAUGGUUAUUGUAUUUUACAGGUUGAUAGAUUUUUAUAUUCUGUCCAAGUCAGGAUCUUACACCACCUGGUUUAUUAUUUAGUAAUUUACAGUGCAGUCAGGCGCGUUUGGCUUAAUGUAAGAUAAACUUAUAAAUCUAUUGUUCCUUCACUUGCCAGGGUUGGUGUGCAAUGAACUACGGAGCUGGACGCGUCCAUACAUUUCAGCUCAGCUUUUUUCUUUGAUAGGGAAGCAGGCAAUAGAUAACACGGUGACAGUAGCAUCCCAGGGGAUGGCAAAAUGUGAGAGCAACACCACGUCAGCAAGCGCCCUGGCAUGCUCGUUCAAAUGCUGGAAAAUACACUCCACUAUGCUUGGAGAAGGCAGUGGCACCCCACUCCGGUACUCUUGCCUGGAAAAUCCCAGGGAUGGAGGAGCCUGGAAGGCUGCAGUCCAUGGGGUCGCUGAGGGUCGGACACGACUGAACGACUUCACUUUCACUUUUCACUUUCACGCAUUGGAGAAGGAAAUGGCAACCCACUCCAGUGUUCUUGCCUGGAGAAUCCUGGGGACGGGGGAGCCUGGUGGGCUGCCGUCUAUGGGGUCACAGAGAGUCAGACACGACUGAAGUGACUUAGCAGUAGCAUUCUUGAAACAAUAGCCCCAAAGCAAUGACCAGGUAGAACUAUAUACUUCUUACCAUGUGUAAGAUAAGCAAGAAAAACAUAUUGUUUAUAUGUGGCUUCAGAUACAAGCUUGCAUUUCUAGGAAAAAUGUGAAGAAUCCUUAGUUUUUGAGUUAUACUGGCAAGAAGAUUAUAUUGUGCAUUCAGAACUUGUGGUAGAAUAUUUCUGCCAUCUUUCGGAGAAAUAAAAGUGACCACACCGUUUCUUUCUUGUCAGUCAGCAUCUCCAGACGGAGUUACUAAAAUGAAGGAUUCUAAGAUGUUUUCCAGGAAAGAUGAACACGAAAGUGAGUUUAGAUUGAGAUUAUGCCUCUAAAUCCCCAUGCUGGGUUAUGCCAGUCAUUUUGGGAAAUUAUCUAUGAGUCAGGAACAUGAAAGGAUAUGGACAACAAAUACAAGGGAAAUCCGUUUAACUGGAUCGGCAGAAAGUAGAUUAGCCGAGUUGACAGUCCAGAGAGGGAGAUAGGAAGGCCUCUGGGAAUCAGCCUGGUCUGGAGUCAGACUGGACCACGUGUUGGCUGCUCUGCUGAUGGCACGGCGGCUGCCCGCCUGCGGGGCUGGGGGCGGGGAGGGGGCACCUGGCAUGGCCACCGCCACCGUCCUCAUUUCAGCAGGGCUGUGGCAGCAGAGACCACCGAUGACUUCUGUCCGCUGAGGUGCCUCGGGGCAAGGAGCGUGCCUGCAAUGGGCUUUUAAUGAUACUGUUUGAUAACAUUUUCUUGAUUGAUAGAGCACCUAUGUAAUGAAGUUAAGUACCGAAUUAAUACUCAAAUCUAUUCUAAUCCAAAUCCAAUUACUCACUCCUGAGUGCUGGUGUGCAAGUGUGUGUGCAUGUGUUUACGUGUAAAGGAUUAUGUGGUCUGGCCCCUGCGCCGCCGGCACACACGGGCGAAGGCCUGGGAAGCCUGGUCCCCGUGCAGGGAUGCCUCUGCAGUUGCUGCGUUUCCAUGCUGCCCUGUGACCCAGCUCCGCGCUGGCCGAGGACCCAGCUCCAGCAUCUCCUCAUCUGCACCCAGUUUGGACUCAGCUAUGGAUCUGAGCUUAAUAAAAUGUACCACAUCCACCAUUACAGAAGUAUUCAUGUGAUUUUAAUCCUGAGCAUCGUUUUUUCUUUCUCCCUUGUCCUUGUUUUGAUAUUACUGGAGCAAAAGCCUGUAGGAUAAAAAGCCUGAAAUAUUAUACUUUUCAUUUAAUGAUUAAUUCCUUAUUUGCCUUCCUAGCUAAAAAACAC